GACGGAGGAUGCAAGUGUUAUCCGGAAUCACUGGGCGUAAAGCGUCUGUAGGUGGUUUAAUAAGUCAACUGUUAAAUCUUGAGGCUCAACCUCAAAAUCGCAGUCGAAACUAUUAGGCUAGAGUAUAGUAGGGGUAAAGGGAAUUCCCGGUGUAGCAGUGAAAUGCGUAGAGAUCGGGAGGAACAUCUGUGGCGAAGGCGGCCUCCUGGGCCAGCACUGACGCUCAUGCACGAAAGCGUGGGGAGCAAACAGG
This 253-nucleotide ribosomal RNA is filed under the name uncultured bacterium. RNAcentral describes it as "partial 16S ribosomal RNA". It matches the Rfam family "Bacterial small subunit ribosomal RNA", at positions 524 to 776 of the family's 1533-position model. The record is from RNAcentral.